RNAcentral lists this ribosomal RNA (411 nucleotides) under Triticum aestivum (bread wheat). Its description in RNAcentral is "partial small subunit ribosomal RNA". Lineage: Eukaryota; Viridiplantae; Streptophyta; Magnoliopsida; Poales; Poaceae. The record is from RNAcentral.
AUGAGAGAAAAAGAGAGAAGGGGCAAUGUUACUAUCCUUUUUUCCACACUUGUGCUUCAAAGUAGCACCAUGAUCUUCAUGAUAGAGAGUCUCUUAUUUUGUCACUUUCAUAUACUAGUGGGAAUUUUUCAAUAUAGAACUUGGCUUGUAUAUUCCAAGGAUGGGCUUCCUCAAAAUGCCCUAGGUCUUCGUGAGCAAGCAAGUUGGAUGCACACCCAUUUAGUUUCUUUUGUUGAGCUUCCAUACAUUUAUAGCUCUAGUGCAUCCGUUGCAUGGCAAUCCCUACUCCUCGCAUUGACUUCAAUUGAUGGGCAUCUCCAUACCCUGUUGAUUAGCCACGUCGAUGUGAGACUUUCUCCCUUUUUGUCUUCUCCACACAACCUCCAUCAUCAUAUUCUAUUCCACCUAUAG